AGGAAGAAGGAAAAUUCGUUUAGUUGUCUAAAGUGUAAGGAUUCAGACCGUAACCUCCAAGCUAAUCCAGCCAUCUAGACUCUCUCAGGUCAGCUGGA
RNAcentral lists this long non-coding RNA (98 nucleotides) under Anas platyrhynchos platyrhynchos (common mallard). RNAcentral's name for it is "lncRNA (ENSAPLG00000026098.1)". Lineage: Eukaryota; Metazoa; Chordata; Aves; Anseriformes; Anatidae. The record is from RNAcentral.